GCGCCAGUAGCUCAGUUGGAUAGAGCACAUGCCUUCUAAGCCUGCGGUCAGGGGUUCGAGUCCCUUCUGGCGCGCCA
This 77-nucleotide transfer RNA is filed under the name Mycoplasmoides fastidiosum. RNAcentral's name for it is "tRNA-Arg". It matches the Rfam family "tRNA". Rfam says of the family: Transfer RNA (tRNA) molecules are approximately 80 nucleotides in length. Their secondary structure includes four short double-helical elements and three loops (D, anti-codon, and T loops). Further hydrogen bonds mediate the characteristic L-shaped molecular structure. tRNAs have two regions of fundamental functional importance: the anti-codon, which is responsible for specific mRNA codon recognition, and the 3' end, to which the tRNAs corresponding amino acid is attached (by aminoacyl-tRNA synthetases). tRNAs cope with the degeneracy of the genetic code in two manners: having more than one tRNA (with a specific anti-codon) for a particular amino acid; and 'wobble' base-pairing, i.e. permitting non-standard base-pairing at the 3rd anti-codon position. The record is from RNAcentral. Lineage: Bacteria; Bacillati; Mycoplasmatota; Mycoplasmoidales; Mycoplasmoidaceae.